Molecule: ribosomal RNA, 270 nt
Filed under: uncultured archaeon
Lineage: Archaea
Description: partial 16S ribosomal RNA
Rfam family: Archaeal small subunit ribosomal RNA
Source: RNAcentral
CAGCACCUCAAGUGGUCAGGAUGAUUAUUGGGCCUAAAGCAUCCGUAGCCGGCGCUGUAAGUUUUCGGUUAAAUCUGUACGCUCAACGUACAGGCUGCCGGGAAUACUGCAGCGCUAGGGAGUGGGAGGGGUAGACGGUACUCGGUAGGAAGGGGUAAAAUCCUUUGAUCUAUUGAUGACCACCUGUGGCGAAGGCGGUCUACCAGAACACGUCCGACGGUGAGGGAUGAAAGCUGGGGGAGCAAACCGGAUUAGAGACCCGCGUAGUCC